AGUGAAGCGGCAAAAGCUCAAAUUUGAAAUCCCCCGGGAAUUGUAAUUUGAAGGUGGCCUCAGUUAGUCCAAACAUUCUUAAGUCCAUUGGAAAAUGGCGCCAUGGAGGGUGAUAGCCCUGUAAAGAUGUCGUUUGUUCUAUUUUCUCUGGCCACCAAAGAGUCGAGUUGUUUGGGAAUGCAGCUCUAAGUGGGUGGUAAAUUCCAUCUAAAGCUAAAUAUUGGCGAGAGACCGAUAGCGAACAAGUACAGUGAUGGAAAGAUGAAAAGCACUUUGAAAAGAGAGUGAAAAAGUACGUGAAAUUGUUGAAAGGGAAGGGCUUGCAAGCAGACACAACCUCGUGUUGGGCCAGCAUCGGGGCGAGAGGAAGUAAAAACGAUUUGGAAAUGUAA
This 392-nucleotide ribosomal RNA is filed under the name Metschnikowia australis. Its description in RNAcentral is "LSU rRNA". It matches the Rfam family "Eukaryotic large subunit ribosomal RNA", at positions 92 to 484 of the family's 3401-position model. The record is from RNAcentral. Lineage: Eukaryota; Fungi; Ascomycota; Pichiomycetes; Serinales; Metschnikowiaceae.